AGGACGAACGCUGGCGGCGUGCUUAACACAUGCAAGUCGAGCGGAAAGGCCCUUCGGGGUACUCGAGCGGCGAACGGGUGAGUAACACGUGAGCAACCUGCCCUUAGCUCUGGGAUAGCUCCGGGAAACCGGAAUUAAUACCGGAUACGACCUAGGCCGACAUCGGCCAUGGUGGAAAGUUUUUCGGCUAGGGAUGGACUCGCGGCCUAUCAGCUAGUUGGUGGGGUAAAGGCCUACCAAGGCGACGACGGGUAGCCGGCCUGAGAGGGCGACCGGCCACACUGGGACUGAGACACGGCCCAGACUCCUACGGGAGGCAGCAGUGGGGAAUCUUGCGCAAUGGGCGAAAGCCUGACGCAGCGACGCCGCGUGGGGGAUGAAGGCCUUCGGGUUGUAAACCCUUUCAGCAGGGACGAAGCGAAAGUGACGGUACCUGCAGAAGAAGCGCCGGCUAACUACGCGCCAGCAGCGC
This 472-nucleotide ribosomal RNA is filed under the name uncultured bacterium. RNAcentral's name for it is "SSU rRNA". It matches the Rfam family "Bacterial small subunit ribosomal RNA", at positions 26 to 518 of the family's 1533-position model. The record is from RNAcentral.